This is a long non-coding RNA of Ornithodoros turicata, 325 nucleotides long. RefSeq lists it as uncharacterized. Lineage: Eukaryota; Metazoa; Arthropoda; Arachnida; Ixodida; Argasidae. The transcript is spliced from 3 exons. The record is from RefSeq and is a predicted model, not a curated record.
CUUGGUAUGCCUUAUUUGACGAACGAACAGACCAAGCACAGACCUCGCUUGCUUUUUAGCAGUUAUUUCAAAAGAUCUGCAUCACCAGCAAGAUCGGUAUUGUACCCGUUAGUGACGUCGAUGUCGUCCUCCUUGGUCGUCAGCGCUCUGCUAAUGAUAUUGUCAUCAGCCCUCUGCAAUGCGACGACAGGAACGACCACUACAACAACUGACCUAAAGGUAGCGCCCUCUACAAUUUCUUCGCAUCCUACUCCACCCACGCCGUUCCAUGACCGGCUCGCACCACCAUCAUCCUGUGGGGCUAACAUCACGGCCAUGGAAAAGA